This is a long non-coding RNA of Herpailurus yagouaroundi (jaguarundi), 459 nucleotides long. RefSeq lists it as uncharacterized. The transcript has 2 exons. Lineage: Eukaryota; Metazoa; Chordata; Mammalia; Carnivora; Felidae. The record is from RefSeq and is a predicted model, not a curated record.
UCAUGACCUGAGCCGAAACCAGAUGCUCAACCGACUGAGCCACCCAGGCGCCCCUAGAGAUUCUCAACUAAUUAAUUCUUCAAAGGCUCUAUUUCCAGAUCAGGUCACAUUCCGAGCAUCCGAGGGGACGUGAACUCUGGCGGACGCUGUUCAACUCCCACCUGGGUGUAGAGCGUGGCGUAGAGAACUUGAUGGCAGGAGGGGUGCCUGACGGAGGGAGCGGAGAAAGAGGACGGUAAGGAUCAAAAGCACAAGGAGAGGACCGGGCUUGACCAAAGACGACAUUCCACUGGCAGGGUCAGCUGCAAACGGGAGCAGAAAGGUGAAGGAAGACACGACGAGGGUAAGAAGGCAGGUUGGAGGAUCCUUCAGCAGGUCGGUGAGCUGUCUGCUGAGACAUCAUGCGGGGAUACCCUUGGGCUGGACGGGUUAACAAGUAAAGCUGAGGCUUGAAACACC